AGGAUCUGGGAGAAGCCAAAGAGGAACAGGGAGCCUCGGCAAGGGGAAGAGGAGGCGUCUGUGUGAAGUCUAGCUACACUGUGCUUUACUAAUGGUGGGGAAGAAAGUCAUAGCAUUCACUAGGGAGGAACCUGCUCUGCAGGCGGCCCUUGGAGUGGACAUACCCAAGCCACUGAAGAAAAACAGAUGACCCAGAGGCCUGGAAGACUCUCUCCCUCCCGAAAAUGAUCACAAGCAGUAUUCAUGCAGCAGCCCCGGCGGCGGCAGAGGGACAGGUGCUAUUUUGAGCUGUUUUCAGUAAUUGUUAGUGCCUGCUUCCAAGUUCCUGCCUUGAGUUCCCACCCUGACUUCCUUCCAGAAUGGACUGUGAUGUGGAUGUAGACCAGACCUGUAUUCUUCAUUGCCUGAUCAAUGCAAGGCCUCCCAAGAGUCAAAAGAGAAUGAGGAUGGAAGAUUAUAAAAGGUUCAAUUGCCGGGCGGUGGUGGCGGCGGUGGUGGCACACGCCUGUAAUCCCAGCACUCUGGGAGAAAGAGGCAUUCUGAGUUCGAGGCCAGCCUGGUCUACAGAAUAAAUAAGACCGGAAGACUGGGAACAAUUCAUCUCAGAGUUCCUAAGAGACAAAAGAAGGAAAUGUAGGCACAGCCAGAGUAGACUGUAGUUUCAGGACUGCCUAUGUACAAAGAAAAGGCCAUCACUAGUGUCACUAGUCUGGGGACAAGGCCUCCUGAAGAAACAGAUGGCUUAGGAAGGUUGAGAAGUUUCUUAGACAAGAUGCCAAGGAGCACAAGGGAGAAAACUCCGGGUGGACAGGGCCCCAUGCUGAGCUCAGAUAACAAAGGAGCUGAAGAGGGAAAGAUAUCCCUCAAACCUAAGCCUAACACAGCUCCGCUGAAGAGUACCAGUGACUCCACAGGACAGUGAGUUGGGAAUUACAGGGAUAAUGAAGAAAGCACACUCGGAACUUGAUGCGGGAGCACGAGAAGAGGCGAUUCCAUCCUCUAUGGUGAGCAUUGGGAUGCCGAGUGAGGAAGGCUGGAGGGAAAGUAGAUACUCCUUUAUUUGCUUCCUGUCAAUAAAAACACCCCCAAGUCCGAAGGAAGGGGAAGACAACAGGUCUAAAAGCUGAAGGCCCUUUAAGACAAGGCCGGGUGGUACACAUAGCUGUGCUCCGGCAUUCUCAAUUCCCCAGCCAAAGUGUCUUUCAUCGCCAAGCUUCACAUAAGACGUGGACACAGUGGGCACACUGUUACUCACUGCGAUGACAUGUUUCUCAGGGGUGUCCAUCUGUCUGCGUCAAGAUCCCCCAGAAAUGCUUGGCAAGAGCACAGAUUCCUGCCCACAGCCUCCCCAACU
This is a long non-coding RNA of Apodemus sylvaticus (European woodmouse), 1354 nucleotides long. RefSeq lists it as uncharacterized. NCBI's taxonomy places the organism in Eukaryota, Metazoa, Chordata, Mammalia, Rodentia, Muridae. The record is from RefSeq and is a predicted model, not a curated record. The transcript has 5 exons.